GAGGGUAUAGCUUAGUGGUAGAGCACAUGGAUGAGGUCCUGGGUUCAAUCUCCAGCACCUCCA
RNAcentral lists this transfer RNA (63 nucleotides) under Camelus bactrianus (Bactrian camel). It matches the Rfam family "tRNA". From Rfam's summary of the family: Transfer RNA (tRNA) molecules are approximately 80 nucleotides in length. Their secondary structure includes four short double-helical elements and three loops (D, anti-codon, and T loops). Further hydrogen bonds mediate the characteristic L-shaped molecular structure. tRNAs have two regions of fundamental functional importance: the anti-codon, which is responsible for specific mRNA codon recognition, and the 3' end, to which the tRNAs corresponding amino acid is attached (by aminoacyl-tRNA synthetases). tRNAs cope with the degeneracy of the genetic code in two manners: having more than one tRNA (with a specific anti-codon) for a particular amino acid; and 'wobble' base-pairing, i.e. permitting non-standard base-pairing at the 3rd anti-codon position. RNAcentral also lists the same sequence under 2 other names. The record is from Rfam by way of RNAcentral. Lineage: Eukaryota; Metazoa; Chordata; Mammalia; Artiodactyla; Camelidae.